AGUGAACGCUGGCGGUAGGCCUAACACAUGCAAGUCGAACGGCAGCACAGUAAGAGCUUGCUCUUACGGGUGGUGAGUGGCGGACGGGUGAGGAAUACAUCGGAAUCUACUUUUUCGUGGGGGAUAACGUAGGGAAACUUACGCUAAUACCGCAUACGACCUACGGGUGAAAGCAGGGGAUCUUCGGACCUUGCGCGAUUGAAUGAGCCGAUGUCGGAUUAGCUAGUUGGCGGGGUAAAGGCCCACCAAGGCGACGAUCCGUAGCUGGUCUGAGAGGAUGAUCAGCCACACUGGAACUGAGGCACGGUCCAGACUCCUACGGGAGGCAGCAGUGGGGAAUAUUGGACAAUGGGCGCAAGCCUGAUCCAGCCAUACCGCGUGGGUGAAGAAGGCCUUCGGGUUGUAAAGCCCUUUUGUUGGGAAAGAAAAGCAGCAGGUUAAUACCCCGCUGUUCUGACGGUACCCAAAGAAUAAGCACCGGCUAACUUCGUG
This 492-nucleotide ribosomal RNA is filed under the name uncultured bacterium. Its description in RNAcentral is "partial 16S ribosomal RNA". It matches the Rfam family "Bacterial small subunit ribosomal RNA", at positions 29 to 507 of the family's 1533-position model. The record is from RNAcentral.